GCCGGGCGUGGUGGUGCACGCCUGUCAUCCCAGCAGCUCAGGAGGCUGAUGCAGGAGGAUCGUGAGUUCAAAGCCAGCCUCAGCAAAGGUGAGGCACAAAGCAACUCAGUGAGACCCUGUCUCUA
RNAcentral lists this small RNA (125 nucleotides) under Marmota monax (woodchuck). Lineage: Eukaryota; Metazoa; Chordata; Mammalia; Rodentia; Sciuridae. The record is from RNAcentral.